Carassius carassius (crucian carp) is the source of this 456-nucleotide long non-coding RNA. RefSeq lists it as uncharacterized. NCBI's taxonomy places the organism in Eukaryota, Metazoa, Chordata, Actinopteri, Cypriniformes, Cyprinidae. The transcript is spliced from 3 exons. The record is from RefSeq and is a predicted model, not a curated record.
AAAGGUUUCUCAUUGGUGAAAGGAGUUUUACUGUGCUGGCCAAUCAGCAGUAAAUAUACAUUUACGUAAUUUCCAUAGACAAGGUGGCGGCGAUAAGACGUGAGACAUAUGUACAGUGAGACAAAACGAUGACCGCAUCGACGGCGAAUCCUUCAGAGAUGAUUGUUUAUAUCUGCGUCCUUUUUGUACAAUAGAGUACAGAAUACAUCCUGUCUCCAACUAAUGCAGAGUAUAUUCAAGCUGCCAACAGACUGGUUUUGAAGAACCCUUUCCAGAGAAAUAUAGAAAGAAAUGACUGUGUAAGUUACAUUGUUUUUAAACCAUUGAUUUAUCUCUAUCAACAUAAUCACACACAAUAUUGUAGUAACAAGAUGUUGUAAUCUUUAUUUGCUGGAAAAUGACAAUCAGUCAAGUUUGUGUUUUGAGCACAUCUGACACAUCCCUAAACCUGAAAUG